GGAAAUACAAUUAUAUCAGGGGAAACAACUUCUACACCACAUCAACUACGUGGCCAAAAAAGCUAAUUAAGGUGCUUAAUUACCGAUCACUGAGUCGCUGUUUAUUUGUGAAUUCGACUAUCACAUCAUGUUGACAUAAAAGGAAUUACUUCGUUCAGAUGUGCCUUUGAUAUUUUUAUCAACUUUCAUCAACUAAAGGAAGACGAUAUAUUUAUAAGUAGCCUUCAUCUAUACAUCAACGUUUCUAUAUAAA
Molecule: long non-coding RNA, 253 nt
Organism: Octopus sinensis (East Asian common octopus)
Lineage: Eukaryota; Metazoa; Mollusca; Cephalopoda; Octopoda; Octopodidae
Exons: 2
Source: RefSeq, a predicted model, not a curated record